Molecule: ribosomal RNA, 256 nt
Filed under: uncultured bacterium
Lineage: Bacteria
Description: partial 16S ribosomal RNA
Rfam family: Bacterial small subunit ribosomal RNA
Source: RNAcentral
UACGUAGGGUGCAAGCGUUGUCCGGAAUUAUUGGGCGUAAAGAGCUCGUAGGCGGUUCGUCGCGUCGGCUGUGAAAAUCCCGGAGCUCAACUCCGGGUCUGCAGUCGAUACGGGCGGACUCGAGUUCGGCAGGGGAGACUGGAAUUCCUGGUGUAGCGGUGAAAAUGCGCAGAUAUCAGGAGGAACACCGGUGGCGAAGGCGGGUCUCUGGGCCGAUACUGACGCUGAGGAGCGAAAGCGUGGGGAGCGAACAGGA